Molecule: ribosomal RNA, 425 nt
Filed under: uncultured bacterium
Lineage: Bacteria
Description: bacterial SSU rRNA
Rfam family: Bacterial small subunit ribosomal RNA
Source: RNAcentral
GUGGGGAAUCUUAGACAAUGGGCGCAAGCCUGAUCUAGCCAUGCCGCGUGAGUGACGAAGGCCUUAGGGUCGUAAAGCUCUUUCGCCAGAGAUGAUAAUGACAGUAUCUGGUAAAGAAACCCCGGCUAACUCCGUGCCAGCAGCCGCGGUAAUACGGAGGGGGUUAGCGUUGUUCGGAAUUACUGGGCGUAAAGCGUACGUAGGCGGAUUAGAAAGUAGGGGGUGAAAUCCCAGGGCUCAACCCUGGAACUGCCUCCUAAACUACUAGUCUAGAGUUCGAGAGAGGUGAGUGGAAUUCCAAGUGUAGAGGUGAAAUUCGUAGAUAUUUGGAGGAACACCAGUGGCGAAGGCGGCUCACUGGCUCGAUACUGACGCUGAGGUACGAAAGUGUGGGGAGCAAACAGGAUUAGAAACCCUAGUAGUCC